AUACUUACGUGGCAGGGGUAAUUCCAUGAUCCGGAAGGUGGUUUCCCCAGGGUGAGACUUGUCCUUUGCACUCUAGAUGGGCUGACCACUGUGAUUUCCCCAAAUGAGGGAAACUCGACUGCAUCAUUUGUGGUAGUGGGGGACAGCAUUCAUACUCUCCUGUG
This is a small nuclear RNA of Dromiciops gliroides (monito del monte), 164 nucleotides long. RefSeq annotates it as U1 spliceosomal RNA. Lineage: Eukaryota; Metazoa; Chordata; Mammalia; Microbiotheria; Microbiotheriidae. The record is from RefSeq and is a predicted model, not a curated record. The transcript has a single exon.